AGAGUUCGAUUCUGGCUCAGGACGAACGCUGGCGGCGCGCCUAACACAUGCAAGUCGAACGAGAGAGAGGGAGCUUGCUCCCUUGAUCGAGUGGCGAACGGGUGAGUAACGCGUGAGGAACCUGCCUCAAAGAGGGGGACAACAGUUGGAAACGACUGCUAAUACCGCAUAAGCCCACGGCUCGGCAUCGAGCAGGGGGAAAAGGAGCAAUCCGCUUUGAGAUGGCCUCGCGUCCGAUUAGCUGGUUGGUGAGGUAACGGCCCACCAAGGCAACGAUCGGUAGCCGGACUGAGAGGUUGAACGGCCACAUUGGGACUGAGACACGGCCCAG
This 331-nucleotide ribosomal RNA is filed under the name uncultured bacterium. Its description in RNAcentral is "bacterial SSU rRNA". It matches the Rfam family "Bacterial small subunit ribosomal RNA", at positions 8 to 334 of the family's 1533-position model. The record is from RNAcentral.